GACGAACGCUGGCGGCGUGCCUAAUACAUGCAAGUAGGACGCAGUUGCGAACGGGUGAGUAACGCGUAGGUAACUGCCUAUUAGAGGGGGAUAACUAUUGGAAACUAUAGCUAAUACCGCAUACUAGUAGAUGGACCUGCGUUGUAUUAGCUAGUAGGUAGGGUAAUGGCCUAACUAGGCGACGAUACAGAACCGAGCUGGGAGGGGUGUCGGCCAACAUUGGACUGAGCAAAUGCCCCGAAUCCUUACGGAGGCAACAGUUGGGUAUCUUCGGAAAUGGGGGGAAACCUGGAUGAGCAAAUGCGCGUGAGUGGAGAAAGUUCUCGGAUUGGAAAACUAUGUUGUUAAGGAAGCGGUACUUACCCAGAAAGGGACGGCUAACUACGUGCCAGCAGCCGCGGUAAUUC
This 407-nucleotide ribosomal RNA is filed under the name uncultured bacterium. RNAcentral describes it as "partial 16S ribosomal RNA". It matches the Rfam family "Bacterial small subunit ribosomal RNA", at positions 28 to 526 of the family's 1533-position model. The record is from RNAcentral.